This 465-nucleotide ribosomal RNA is filed under the name uncultured bacterium. RNAcentral's name for it is "partial 16S ribosomal RNA". It matches the Rfam family "Bacterial small subunit ribosomal RNA", at positions 28 to 507 of the family's 1533-position model. The record is from RNAcentral.
GACGAACGCUGGCGGCGUGCUUAACACAUGCAAGUCGAACGGAAAGGCCCUGCUUGCCGGGUACUCGAGUGGCGAACGGGUGAGUAACACGUGGGUGAUCUGCCCUGCACUUCGGGAUAAGCUUGGGAAACUGGGUCUAAUACCGGAUAGGAGCCAUCUUUAGUGUGGUGGUUGGAAAGUUUUUUCGGUGUAGGAUGAGCUCGCGGCCUAUCAGCUUGUUGGUGGGGUAAUGGCCUACCAAGGCAGCGACGGGUAGCCGGCCUGAGAGGGUGUACGGCCACAGUGGGACUGAGAUACGGCCCAGACUCCUACGGGAGGCAGCAGGGGGGAAUAUUGCACAAUGGGCGCAAGCCUGAUGCAGCGACGCCGCGUGGGGGAUGAAGGCCUUCGGGUUGUAAACUCCUUUCGCUAGGGACGAAGCUUUUUGUGACGGUACCUAGAGAAGAAGCACCGGCUAACUACGUG